UUCCGAUGACCUGUGGAUAGGAGUGAAAGGCUAAUCAAACUCGCAGAUAGCUGGUUCUCCCCGAAAUAGCUUUAGGGCUAGCCUCUAGUAAUAGUACACGGGGGUAGAGCUACUGAAUGGGAUAGGGGCCCUCACCGGGUACCCUACCUAAUCAAACUCCGAAUACCGUGUGCCCUAUCUAGGGAGUCAGACUACGGGUGAUAAGGUCCGUGGUCGAAAGGGAAACAGCCCAGACCGUCAGCUAAGGUCCCUAAUAUCCGCUAAGUGCAGCAAAGGAUGUGAGAUCUCAAAGACAGCCAGGAUGUUGGCUUAGAAGCAGCCAUCAUUUAAAGAGUGCGUAACAGCUCACUGGUCGAGAGAUCUCGCGCCGAUAAUGAACGGGGCUAAGUGGAUAACCGAAGCUACGGCAUGUACAGACUCGUUGAGUGUGUGCAUGGGUAGGGGAGCGUUCCAAGUGGGUGAAGGAUGACGGCAACGACAUCUGGACGCUUUGGAAGUGAUAAUGCCGGAAUGAGUAGCGAUAAAGCAGGUGAGAAUCCUGCUCUCCAAAAACCUAAGGUUUCCUGGGCACGGUAAAUCCGCCCAGGGUUAGUCGGACCCUAAGACGAGGCCGAAAGGCGUAGUCGAUGGACGACAGGUUAAUAUUCCUGUACUGCCGAAAUCCGUUUUAACCGAUGGGGUGACGCGGGAGGAAAGGUGAUCACACUGACAGAUUAGUGUGUGUAAGCCCGAGGGUGGCACGUAGGUAAAUCCGCGUGCGGAAGCCCAGAGGUGAUGCCGGGCGCUUAUGCGCGAAGUCACUGGACUGACCGCCUAGAAAAUCCUCUAGGAAGGACUAGGUAUCCGUACCAAAACUGACACAGGUGGGUGAGGUGAGAAUCCUAAGGCGCUCGAGAGAACUGUUGUUAAGGAACUCGGCAAAUUGACCCCGUAACUUCGGGAUAAGGGGUGCCCUCCAGGGUGAAAGUCUUUUCGACUCUAGCUCCGGGGGGCCGCAGAGAAAUGGCCCAAGCGACUGUUUACUAAAAACACAGGUCUGUGCUAAGUCCUAAAGACGAUGUAUACAGACUGACGCCUGCCCAAUGCUGGAAGGUUAAGGGGAGCGGUUAGCGUAAGCGAAGCUGCGAACUGAAGCCCCAGUGAAUGGCGGCCGUAACUAUGACGGUCCUAAGGUAGCGAAGUUCCUUGUCGGGUAAGUUCCGACCCGCACGAAAGGCGUAACGAUUUGGGCACUGUCUCAACAACAGACUCGGCGAAAUUGUAGUCGUGGUGAAGAUGCCACGUUCCCGCAUCAAGACGGAAAGACCCCGUGAACCUUUACUAUAGCCUGAUAUUGGGGCUUGGUAUGCCGUGCGUAGCAUAGGUGGGAGGCGUUGAAGCUGUGCUCUCGGGCAUGGUGGAGCCACAAUGUGAAAUACCACUCUCGGUAUAUUAGGUCUCUAACGCGUUUGUCUGAAUCGGCAACGCGGACAGUGUCUGGUGGGUAGUUUGGCUGGGGCGGUCUCCUCCUAAAGAGUAUCGGAGGAGCGCGAUGGU
RNAcentral lists this ribosomal RNA (1536 nucleotides) under marine metagenome. RNAcentral describes it as "bacterial LSU rRNA". It matches the Rfam family "Bacterial large subunit ribosomal RNA", at positions 799 to 2317 of the family's 2925-position model. The record is from RNAcentral.